AGUGAACGCUGGCGGUAGGCCUAACACAUGCAAGUCGAACGGCAGCACAGUAAGAGCUUGCUCUUACGGGUGGCGAGUGGCGGACGGGUGAGGAAUACAUCGGAAUCUACUUUUUCGUGGGGGAUAACGUAGGGAAACUUACGCUAAUACCGCAUACGACCUACGGGUGAAAGCAGGGGAUCUUCGGACCUUGCGCGAUUGAAUGAGCCGAUGUCGGAUUAGCUAGUUGGCGGGGUAAAGGCCCACCAAGGCGACGAUCCGUAGCUGGUCUGAGGGGAUGAUCAGCCGCACUGGAACGAGGACGCGGUCCAACCUCCUACGGGAGACACCGGUGGGAAAUAUUGGGCAGGGGGCGGAGGCGUAUUCCGGCCAAACCGCGUGGGUGAGAAAGGCCUUCGGGUUGUAAGGCCCUUUUGUUGGAAAGUAAAAACGGCAGUUUAAUCCCCCUCUGUUCUACCGGACCCCAAGAAAAAGGCACCGCCAACCUCGUU
RNAcentral lists this ribosomal RNA (491 nucleotides) under uncultured bacterium. RNAcentral describes it as "partial 16S ribosomal RNA". It matches the Rfam family "Bacterial small subunit ribosomal RNA", at positions 29 to 507 of the family's 1533-position model. The record is from RNAcentral.